RNAcentral lists this ribosomal RNA (538 nucleotides) under Cryptorhynchinae gen. sp. ARC4010. RNAcentral's name for it is "partial 16S large subunit ribosomal RNA". It matches the Rfam family "Bacterial large subunit ribosomal RNA", at positions 1832 to 2625 of the family's 2925-position model. Lineage: Eukaryota; Metazoa; Arthropoda; Insecta; Coleoptera; Curculionidae. The record is from RNAcentral.
GGCGUAUUGAUAAUAAUUUUAGGUCAGACCUGCCCAAUGAUACAUAUUAAAUGGCCGCGGUAUUUUGACCGUGCAAAGGUAGCAUAAUCAUUAGUUUUUUAAUUGAAAGCUGGUAUGAAAGGUUUAAUGAAAAGAUUACUGUCUCUAUUUAAAUUAAUUAGAAAUUUAUUUUUAAGUAAGAAAGCUUAAAUAUUUAUAAAAGACGAGAAGACCCUAUAGAGUUUUAUAUUUUUAUUAGUAAAAUUUUAUUAAAUAAUAAGUAUUUUUAUUAAUUAAAGUAUUUGGUUGGGGUGACAGAAAAAUUAAAUAAACUUUUUUUGUAUAAUAACAAAAAUUAUUGAAUAAUUGAUCCUUAAAUAAAGAUUAAAAGAUUAAAUUACCUUAGGGAUAACAGCGUAAUUUUUCUUAAGAGUUCAAAUCAAAAGAAGAGAUUGCGACCUCGAUGUUGGAUUAAAAAAAAUUAUUGGUGUAGUAGCUAAUAAAUUAGGUCUGUUCGACCUUUAAAAUUUUACAUGAUCUGAGUUUAAACCGGCGUAAG